RNAcentral lists this ribosomal RNA (253 nucleotides) under uncultured bacterium. Its description in RNAcentral is "partial 16S ribosomal RNA". It matches the Rfam family "Bacterial small subunit ribosomal RNA", at positions 524 to 776 of the family's 1533-position model. The record is from RNAcentral.
UACAGAGACUGCAAGCGUUAUUCGGAUUCACUGGGCGUAAAGGGUGCGCAGGCGGCCAAGUGUGUCAGGUGUGAAAUCCCGAGGCUUAACCUCGGAACUGCGCCUGAAACUACUUGGCUAGAGUACUGGAGAGGGUAACGGAAUUCACGGUGUAGCAGUGAAAUGCGUAGAUAUCGUGAGGAACACCAGAGGCGAAGGCGGUUACCUGGACAGUUACUGACGCUCAGGCACGAAAGCGUUGGGAGCAAAAGGG